This 439-nucleotide ribosomal RNA is filed under the name uncultured bacterium. RNAcentral describes it as "bacterial SSU rRNA". It matches the Rfam family "Bacterial small subunit ribosomal RNA", at positions 959 to 1397 of the family's 1533-position model. The record is from RNAcentral.
ACGCGUGGAACCUUACCAGGUCUUGACAUCCUCUGACACUCCUAGAGAUAGGACGUUCCCCUUCGGGGGACAGAGUGACAGGUGGUGCAUGGUUGUCGUCAGCUCGUGUCGUGAGAUGUUGGGUUAAGUCCCGCAACGAGCGCAACCCUUGAUCUUAGUUGCCAGCAUUAAGUUGGGCACUCUAAGGUGACUGCCGGUGACAAACCGGAGGAAGGUGGGGAUGACGUCAAAUCAUCAUGCCCCUUAUGACCUGGGCUACACACGUGCUACAAUGGAUGGUACAAAGGGCUGCAAGACCGCGAGGUUUAGCCAAUCCCAUAAAACCAUUCUCAGUUCGGAUUGCAGGCUGCAACUCGCCUGCAUGAAGCUGGAAUCGCUAGUAAUCGCGGAUCAGCAUGCCGCGGUGAAUACGUUCCCGGGCCUUGCACUCACCGCCCGU